AAGGGUAUAGCUCAGUGGCAGAGCACAUGCUUAGCAUGCAUGAGGUCCUGAGUUCAAGCCCCAGUACCUCUA
Molecule: transfer RNA, 72 nt
Filed under: Camelus bactrianus (Bactrian camel)
Lineage: Eukaryota; Metazoa; Chordata; Mammalia; Artiodactyla; Camelidae
Also listed under: 2 other names
Rfam family: tRNA
About the family: Transfer RNA (tRNA) molecules are approximately 80 nucleotides in length.
Source: Rfam by way of RNAcentral